UUUUUUUUUUUUCUCUUACUCACAUUUUCUUCAUCUCUCUUCUUCAACGAAGAACAAAAUCAUUGAUCGGAAAUUUGGAAAUCCUUAGAUCGCAUCAGAGAAUUUCUAUAAUUUGAGAUUUGAUUGAGGGAAAGCUUUUCACAAUAGAUUGGUCGGGGUUUUGUGGGGCUCUAUCUUCUUCAUUUGUGUAUGAUUUUUUUUUAGAGAUCUGGUUUUGAAGGGAUCGCCGUCUGGUUUGGUGUCUUCACUGUGAAAAUGUCGAUGCUACCAUCUAAAGGCGAUAUUCAAAUUAGGGAGGUUUGGAAUGAUAAUCUUGAAGCUAAAUUUUCUCUGAUUCGGAAGAUUGUUGAUGAUUUCCCUUAUGUCGCUAUGGAUACGGAGUUUCCAGGGAUUGUUCUUCAUCCUUUCGGGAAUGUUAAAACCAGUUCUAAUUAUCAUUAUCAGACCUUGAUUGGGACAGGGCUAGAGAACAGGGCCGGCAGGGAAGCUGUGAUUGAGCGACCAUCUGUAGCUCAACCUGCCCACUCAAGCAUCAGAAAGCUGGAAUUUUGGUAGCAAAUCUUAUUUGUUAGUUUAUUAUUGUUCCCAAUGCACUGGCUUGUAUUAUAUGUGAAGGAUGAAGCUUUCAGGAUUAUGCUUUGAUGGAAUAGUGUCAUGUUAAUGGAGUUUUCAACGGCAAUACUGUAUUUAAAUUACAACAACUUGAGCCAACCAUGUAUCUUGAAUUUACCACAUUUUUAUUUGAUUCUCUAUACCUCUCCAA
Long non-coding RNA from Macadamia integrifolia, 763 nucleotides. RefSeq lists it as uncharacterized. The record is from RefSeq and is a predicted model, not a curated record. Lineage: Eukaryota; Viridiplantae; Streptophyta; Magnoliopsida; Proteales; Proteaceae. The transcript has 2 exons.